Molecule: ribosomal RNA, 210 nt
Filed under: uncultured bacterium
Lineage: Bacteria
Description: partial 16S ribosomal RNA
Rfam family: Bacterial small subunit ribosomal RNA
Source: RNAcentral
CACGUAGGCGGUCGUGUAAGUCGGGUGUGAAAGACCGCGGCCUAACCGCGGAACCGCGCCCGAAACUGCACGACUCGAGGACGGGAGGGGAGAGUGGAACUCCUGGUGGAGCGGUGAAAUGCGUAGAUAUCAGGAGGAACGCCGGCGGCGAAAGCGACUCUCUGGUCCGUCCCUGACGCUGAGGUGCGAAAGCUGGGGGAGGCAAAACGG